This 336-nucleotide long non-coding RNA is filed under the name Hordeum vulgare. RNAcentral's name for it is "long non-coding RNA (HVUL_LNC005692)". The record is from RNAcentral. Lineage: Eukaryota; Viridiplantae; Streptophyta; Magnoliopsida; Poales; Poaceae.
CUUGUCUUAUGUAGGCUCACCUAGCUUGUAUUUGUGCAACUUAGCGCUUGUUGCAGUUUGCGCACCGCAGCACCUCCUAUGUUGCAGGAUCUGAAUCUGGAUCCCUUGAAGGCAGUUGCAAAAGCACCUAUGUUGCAACAAUUUCUUCCGCAACGGUACCUUUGUUGCAGAAAGAUGAAGGGAAAAAUUAUGCAAACUGACCUAUGUUGCAAAAGUUUUCUGCAACAUGACCUUUGUUGCAAAAAAUUCUUACGCAACAGUACCUAUGCUGCACAAAGACGAAGAAAAAAUUCUGCAACAAAGCAAUUGUUUCUGCAACUCGACCGUUGUUUUAAG